This 1356-nucleotide long non-coding RNA is filed under the name Zonotrichia albicollis (white-throated sparrow). Its description in RNAcentral is "lncRNA (ENSZALG00000002143.1)". Lineage: Eukaryota; Metazoa; Chordata; Aves; Passeriformes; Passerellidae. The record is from RNAcentral.
ACGAACGCCCCCAAAACCCAAACUCCAAAACCCAAAAUUCCAACGAACGCCCCCAAAACCCAAACUCCAAAACCCCAAUGAAUGAUCCCAAGGUAGAAACUCCAACGAACAAUCCUACGGUAGAAACUCCAACACCCAAAAUUGCAAUAAACACCCUAAAACCCAAACUCCAAAACACAAACUUCCAAUGAACAAUCCCAACGUAGAAACUCCAGUGAACGACCCCAAGGUAGAGACUCCAAAGCCCAGAAUUGCAACAAACACCCCCAAAACCCAAACCCCAAAACCCAAAACCCCAAUGAACAAUCCCAAGGUAGAAACUCCAAAACCUAAAAUUCCAACUAACGCCCCCAAAACCCAAAACCCAAAACCCCAACGAACACCCCCAAAACCCAGACUCCAAAACCCAAAAUUCCAAUGAACGAUCCCAAGGUAGAACCUCCAAAACCCAAACUCCAAACCCCAAAAUUCCAACGAACGCCCCCAAAACCCAAAAUUCUAAUGAACAUUCCCAAGGUAGAAACUCCAGUGAACGAUCCCAAUGUAGAAACUCCCAAACCCAAAAUUCCCACAAACGCCCCCAAAACCCAAACCCCAAAACCCCAUCAAACAAUCCCAAGGUAGAAACUCCAACACCCAAAACUCCAACGAACGCCCCCAAAACCCAAACUCCAAAACCCAAACUUCCAACGAACAAUCCCAGAGUAGAAACUCCAAAACCCAAAAUUCCAACAAACGCCACCAAAACUGCAACGAACGCCCCCAAAACCCAAACUCCAAAACCCCAACGAACGAUCCCAAGGUAGAAACUCCAAUGAUCCCAAGGUAGAAACUCCAAAACCCAAAACUCCAACAAACACCCCCAGACUCCAAAACCCAAAAUUCCAAUGAACAAUCCCAAGGUAGAAACCCCAAAUCCCAAGGUAGAAACUCCAAAAUUCCAACGAACGCCCCCAAAACCCAAACUCCAAAACCCCAAAGAACGAUGCCAAGGUAGAAACUCCAAAACCCAAGGUAGAAACUCCAACGAUCCCAAGGUAGAAACUCCAAAACCCAAAAUUCCAACGAACACCCCCAAAUCCCAAACCCCAAUGAACAAUCCCAAGGUAGAAACUCCAAAACCCAAAAUUCCAACAAACACCCCCAAACUCCAAAACCCAAACUUCCAAUGAACAAUCCCAAGGUCGAAACUCCAAACCCCAAAACCUCAAUGAACAAUCCCAAGGUAGAACCUCCAAAACCCAAACUCCAAAACCCAAAAUUCCAAUGACCGAUCCCAAGGUAGAAACUCCAAAACCCAAAACUCCAACGAACGCCCCCAAAACCCGAAAUUCCAAUGAACAAUCCCAAGGUAGA